Molecule: ribosomal RNA, 412 nt
Filed under: uncultured bacterium
Lineage: Bacteria
Description: partial 16S ribosomal RNA
Rfam family: Bacterial small subunit ribosomal RNA
Source: RNAcentral
GGGCGGGGGGGGGGCACGGGGGGAACGCGAAGAACCUUACCAGGCCUUGACAUCCAAUGAACUUUCCAGAGAUGGAUUGGUGCCUUCGGGAACAUUGAGACAGGUGCUGCAUGGCUGUCGUCAGCUCGUGUUGUGAGAUGUUGGGUUAAGUCCCGUAACGAGCGCAACCCUUGUCCUUAGUUACCAGCACAUUCGGGUGGGAACUCUAAGGAGACUGCCGGUGACAAACCGGAGGAAGGUGGGGAUGACGUCAAGUCAUCAUGGCCCUUACGGCGUGGGCUACACACGUGCUACAAUGGUCGGUACAGAGGGUAGCCAAGCCGCGAGGGCAAGCGGACCUAAAAAAGCGCGUCGUAGUCCGGAUUGGAGUCUGCAACUCGACUCCAUGAAGUCGGAAUCGCUAGUAAUCGUA